This 427-nucleotide unclassified non-coding RNA is filed under the name Bombus terrestris (buff-tailed bumblebee). RNAcentral's name for it is "misc RNA ENSBTSG00005029238.1". The record is from RNAcentral. Lineage: Eukaryota; Metazoa; Arthropoda; Insecta; Hymenoptera; Apidae.
UUUUUCCCUCUUCGUUCAUCUUACAUAUUAUUAUUAUUAUUAGUAUUAUUAUUAUUAUUCGCGCCUCUGGCUUCCCUGGUCUUGGCCUUCGAUCGACGAGGAAGAGAAGCUACUUCUUCUCGUUCUUUCAUCACGAUCGUACUUCGACGCGACAGCUCGAACCUAUUCGUUCCUCGAGGAACGAUACUACGCCUCGAUCUGAUCUUCCGGGGUCAUUAUGUCGGGCGCCAUCGACAAGUCCUCGGCCAUGUCUUCGUCCUGUCCUGAAUCGUGCCCGUGACUCUCGGGAUACUCCCUCUCCAGAAGACACGUCUGGAUAAACGAUGGUUGUUUUCUUAGAACAAUGUUCGAGGCCCCUUUGUGCCGGAAACUGGUGUCUACGCGCAUCCUUAGGCAAUCGCCGUAUAACCUGCGCGCCGUGUUUUAC